ACUCUUCUUAAGUAGUACCGAGGAGCAGUUAUCGUGAAAUCCGCGUGGAGUUAAGGGGAAGGAAAAGGACCGGAAAGGAGAGGAAGUGACGUCAGGAAUGGAAAGAAAGGGGCCACGAAAAUGACGUGACGUCAGGAAGGGACGGGUUAAAGACGACAUCUUCCAUCCAGUAUCAGCAGCGCGGUUAUUUCGUGUGCUGGUAACGUUUGCAGAGUAGAAAGAACAAAGGAAAACCCAGGAACGAAGCGCCAUUUAUUGGGGAAUUAAAGAAAGACAAUCAUAUCAAGGAAAAUAAUUUCUACAACACCUCGGUUCUUCUCAAUUAUUAAUUAAGGUGCUUAAUUACUGAUCACUGACUCGUUGCUUAUUUGUGAAUACGAAUAUCACAUCAUGUUGACAUAAAAGGAAUUACUUCAUUCAGAUGUGUCUCUGAUAUUUUUAUCAACUUUCAUCAACUAAUGAAGACGAUAUAUUUAUAAGGAGCCUUCAUCUAUACAUCAACGUUUCUAUAUAAAUAUAAUCUAU
This is a long non-coding RNA of Octopus sinensis (East Asian common octopus), 525 nucleotides long. RefSeq lists it as uncharacterized. The transcript has 2 exons. The record is from RefSeq and is a predicted model, not a curated record. NCBI's taxonomy places the organism in Eukaryota, Metazoa, Mollusca, Cephalopoda, Octopoda, Octopodidae.